UAAGUGGUGGAAAUUAAACCAAAUGGGAUAUCUUUAGUAAUUGCGAAUGAACAAGGAUAUGCUUAGCUUGACAAAUGGAGCUAUUGGCUUUGAAUUGUAUUGUGGAAAUGUAUUACCAACAGAGGUGCAGGUGCCAGCCUAUUGAAAUAAAGCGUCAAUGAGGGUGAGAAUCCUGUUUGUCAUGUGCAGCCCUUUGUGCACGGUGUAUAUUUGCUGAGUCACACUCCUUGGCAUUGGAAUGCAAAGUGGGUGGUAAGUUUCAUGUAAAGGUAAACAUGCAAUUGAGACUGAUAGCACACAAGUACCAUGAGGGAAAUAUGAAAAGGACUUUGAAAAGAGAAUUAAAUGAGUUUGUAUUUGCUGAACACAAAGUAAACAGACUUGAUUUGCUUGGUGGGAGUGUUGCACUUGCUUUAUAAGAGCUUUGGGCUGUGGGUGUAAUGAUUCUUUCUUUGCAUGCCAGUUUCUAUUUGUACAUCUGAUUACCUUUGCACAUGAAUGAUAAGUCUCCUGUGGGGGGUGGAUUGCAUGUGCAUGUAAUGAUUUGUGUUUUGAUAAAUGUGUCUGGUGUAUGUGUGUGUUCCUGUGCUUGGGGAUGCUUCCUUCCUUGGACUUACAAGCCCUGACACACACAUGCUGGCAAAAUGCUUCUGCUUGACCCG
RNAcentral lists this ribosomal RNA (662 nucleotides) under Alexandrium tamarense. RNAcentral's name for it is "LSU rRNA". It matches the Rfam family "Eukaryotic large subunit ribosomal RNA", at positions 47 to 651 of the family's 3401-position model. Lineage: Eukaryota; Dinophyceae; Gonyaulacales; Pyrocystaceae. The record is from RNAcentral.